Molecule: ribosomal RNA, 499 nt
Filed under: soil bacterium RFS-I117
Lineage: Bacteria
Description: bacterial SSU rRNA
Rfam family: Bacterial small subunit ribosomal RNA
Source: RNAcentral
AGAGUUUGAUCCUGGCUCAGGACGAACGCUGGCGGCGUGCUUAACACAUGCAAGUCGAACGGAAAGGCCCUUCGGGGUACUCGAGUGGCGAACGGGUGAGUAACACGUGGGUGAUCUGCCCUGCACUUUGGGAUAAGCCUGGGAAACUGGGUCUAAUACCGAAUAUGACCACGCGCUUCAUGGUGUGUGGUGGAAAGCUUUUGCGGUGUGGGAUGGGCCCGCGGCCUAUCAGCUUGUUGGUGGGGUAAUGGCCUACCAAGGCGACGACGGGUAGCCGGCCUGAGAGGGUGACCGGCCACACUGGGACUGAGAUACGGCCCAGACUCCUACGGGAGGCAGCAGUGGGGAAUAUUGCACAAUGGGCGCAAGCCUGAUGCAGCGACGCCGCGUGAGGGAUGACGGCCUUCGGGUUGUAAACCUCUUUCAAUAGGGACGAAGCGCAAGUGACGGUACCUAUAGAAGAAGGACCGGCCAACUACGUGCCAGCAGCCGCGGUAAU